Molecule: ribosomal RNA, 497 nt
Filed under: uncultured bacterium
Lineage: Bacteria
Description: partial 16S ribosomal RNA
Rfam family: Bacterial small subunit ribosomal RNA
Source: RNAcentral
GACGAACGCUGGCGGCGUGCCUAAUACAUGCAAGUUGAGCGCUGAAGGUUGGUACUUGUACCGACUGGAUGAGCAGCGAACGGGUGAGUAACGCGUGGGGAAUCUGCCUUUGAGCGGGGGACAACAUUUGGAAACGAAUGCUAAUACCGCAUAAAAACUUUAAACACAAGUUUUAAGUUUGAAAGAUGCAAUUGCAUCACUCAAAGAUGAUCCCGCGUUGUAUUAGCUAGUUGGUGAGGUAAAGGCUCACCAAGGCGAUGAUACAUAGCCGACCUGAGAGGGUGAUCGGCCACAUUGGGACUGAGACACGGCCCAAACUCCUACGGGAGGCAGCAGUAGGGAAUCUUCGGCAAUGGACGAAAGUCUGACCGAGCAACGCCGCGUGAGUGAAGAAGGGUUUCGGAUCGUAAAACUCUGUUGGUAGAGAAGAACGUUGGUGAGAGUGGAAAGCUCAUCAAGUGACGGUAACUACACAGAAAGGGACGGCUAACUACGUG